This is a long non-coding RNA of Scophthalmus maximus (turbot), 804 nucleotides long. RefSeq lists it as uncharacterized. The transcript has 3 exons. NCBI's taxonomy places the organism in Eukaryota, Metazoa, Chordata, Actinopteri, Pleuronectiformes, Scophthalmidae. The record is from RefSeq and is a predicted model, not a curated record.
GCUCUCCCACAUAUUAACUGACAGCUUGAUUCGUGCUAACCGCUAGCAUGCUACACUCUCAUGAAGACGUACGGCGCGGCCUACACCAAGCUAGCGCCGAUCUGGACGCAGGUUGUCGGCACCGUAAACAACUGACACCGCUCCCACGACGCCGAGACAACACGGACAGCGCGCACACCAGCCCGCGGAUACUCUGGUGUCCGUGUGUGGGGGCGCGAGAGACACGGCUCUCCUUUGAUGGACGAGGGACAGUGGGAGCUGGCUAGUCCAUCUAGCAGCCUGGCUAACGUUAGCGUCACUUACCCUGUCCGUAUUUAGCUUAGAUUCCACUCCGAGGGAGUCACACCAGAUUGGGCGGAGACUGCGACCCAAUGUAUCUGAAAUGUCAAAAUUUCUAUGAACGGUCACUUACGAAAACCGCAGAUUCUAAUGUGAGCGCGGGGGCGAUGGGGUGCGGUGAGGCCAGGGACAGCCGUGCAGCCAGGAGCCCCAUCCUGACACAGCUGUCUGUGUCUCGCUGCUGGAGGAUCCCUGCCAUCAGAGCACCUGCGAGACUGCAGACAGAGUUGACUGAGCUUCCAUCCUGCUCUCCACACAACAACACACCGUUAGCCCCCAGAGUCACCACCAGACAGUGAAGAUGCUCCAGAAGGGGGCGUGAGAGAGCCACAGCAACAUCCAGCACCUCCUCCAGAGAGCUUGGCAGCACUGCCAUGCCAUAAGACAAAACCACAUCCGCAGCUACUGUCACACUAUUUUCAUUUUUUCAACAAGGAACCUAAUUGUAACACUCAUGGGAGGGAA